AUGACUGUAAAAUGUGGCAGUGCGUUGUGGUGACAUUGUGUAAUGAAGAGCUGUAACAGAUUUCUGAGACGGAAGGCAGAGGGGAACCUUUAUGCUCUGACAAUCGAAGAGCUGGAGAGCACGUGGCAGAACUUACACUUCAUGGAGCAAGUCAUGAGGUGUGCGCCCCCACAAACAUGGCCCAGGGCGUGGGUAUGACUUCAGGAGAGUCAACGGCAGUGAUGUGAAUGUGCAGAUAAGGGGUACUGGGUGGCUAAGGUUACAGGGAAGCUAAGGUUUUGUCAGACCAAGAAGGAUGAGUUAGGCCAAUGUCACUAAAGGGCAGUAAUCACAGAGGAAGGGAACACAGCAACUAUGAGACUCAUGGAGAGGACAGGAAACAGUGUUGACAUUCUAAGUUCCAUCCCCACAGUUACCUGGCAACAGCCAGGCAUGCCUGACUCACUAUAAAAGGGGCUGCUUGCCCCCGCCUCACUCUCUUCUCCUGUUCUCACUCUUCCCCUCUGUCCCUUCUCUGCUCCUUCCCCUGCCCCCUUUCCCUCUACGUGCUCGUGGAUGGCCUCUACUCCUCUCCUCUUCUACUCUUCUUCUCUCAUUAAACCUUUCCACAUGGAACCAUGUUGGCCCAUUGUUUUUUGUCUGGAUGUGAGCCAAGACACAGUUCUACCCCAACCAACAGUUCAGCUCACUCAUAUACCCAUGCACCUAUGAACAUACAAUAGAUCCAUGUGAACACACAUGUGCACAUGCCCGGAGUCAUGCAGACACACAAACACACGUGAGCACAAGAGAGUGCUGGCCGAUAAUACAUCUCUGAAACCUUAGUCUUAAAGAACAAAGGAGAAACAUUAAUCCUGCCCUGGCCCACAUUACCUGGGAAGCCUUCAGAGUGGCAGGAGGGCUUGGGUCCUGGCAAUGCCUUUCAAAAUGAAGUUUAAGGACCUCAUCCCCACCCACCUCUGAGUUGCAACAUCUGAGGAAUGAAGAUCUCCUGGAAGUCAAGUCCAAGAGUUCCAGUAAAGCCAGAGGUCACCCAGCAGUGCCUGCAGUUGACUCCAGCCUAGGGCUUCAUCUGGGAGAUUCUCUCCUAGGGAAACCUUUACUCUGCAGAGUAAGCAAUAAAACAGUGUCCCCAGUUCAUUUACAAGGCAUCACUGUCAUUCAGCUGAGGAGGAGGAGUGUGUCAAGAUUUGGAUACUGAAGGUCACGUUCAGAGAGUCGGAUAGAACUAAAUAGAAAAUGGACAUGCAUAUUGGUGAAAAGUGUGGCACAUUGGGAAAGUCUUGCCUCUCUCAACUACCUAUCCCUGUCAGCAUCGUCUACAAAACCCUACCCUUCUUACUUUACUCAGUCCAAUUUCUACCACCUACCCAGCCCUGCCUCCACUACCCACCAAUCCCUGCCUCCAUAACCUACCCAGGCCCACUUCCCUCAUCUACUGUCUGGCCUCCAUAUUUGCCCCUUCUCCUGCCCAGCCCUGCCUUCAAAACUGCCUCUAUUACUUCUCCAGCCCUAUCUCCCUCACUUGCUCAGCCUUUCUUCCAUCACCUGCCCUGCCAUCCCCUUCACCUGACCAGCCCUGAUGUCCUCAUCUACCCAGCCCUGCCCCCAGCACCUCCUCAGCCCCAAUCCAUUUCUGCCCCUAGGAGAUGAUGUCAUAAAGGUGAGGCAGGUACAAGACAGAAUGAGGCCUAUCACUGGACAAGAAGGAGGGAUAGGUGGGAGAAAAGUUGGGGAGAAGAGUAGGAGACUGAAACAGAAAGGACGGGAGACUGGAGGAGACUGCAAGAGAAGCUGAGGAGAGAACAUGGAGGCUGAUGUUAAGAUUCCACUCUGUGUAUUUUCAGGUUGUUAUGAAUGUUCUUAAGGGAAGGAUGUGUACAGGGCUUUGUAUGUUUAAGUGGGCAAUUAUACCUUAUCAAUUG
This is a non-coding RNA of Rattus norvegicus (Norway rat), 1925 nucleotides long. Lineage: Eukaryota; Metazoa; Chordata; Mammalia; Rodentia; Muridae. The record is from RefSeq and is a predicted model, not a curated record.